This 209-nucleotide unclassified non-coding RNA is filed under the name Hevea brasiliensis (rubber tree). The record is from RNAcentral. Lineage: Eukaryota; Viridiplantae; Streptophyta; Magnoliopsida; Malpighiales; Euphorbiaceae.
GAGGCAAGCUAGACACAACAACAAUAAUAACCCUUUCCCUCAAGAGUUCGAAGAUAAGCAAGAUAAGGAAGAUGAGAAUAAUGAUGAUCAGACUUCAAUCAUAAAUGAGGAUAGAUUUUAUCAGAGUAGAGAAAGGCAUGAAAGAAGGCCGAGGAGAGAUGACAGGGGUAGAGAUGGUAUUGAUCGAAACAUUGAGAGCAUCAAAAUGA